Long non-coding RNA from Juglans microcarpa x Juglans regia, 129 nucleotides. RefSeq lists it as uncharacterized. The transcript has 3 exons. The record is from RefSeq and is a predicted model, not a curated record. NCBI's taxonomy places the organism in Eukaryota, Viridiplantae, Streptophyta, Magnoliopsida, Fagales, Juglandaceae.
CUGAAUGGAUAGUAAUAUUAGCUGUUGGUGGGGUGCUGAUAUACAUAGCAUCUUUCUCCAUUGGACUGGGAGCAGUCCCUUGGGUGAUUAUGUCUGAGAUUUUCCCAAUUCAUGUGAAGUUGGUUGUUG